This is a long non-coding RNA of Drosophila mauritiana, 399 nucleotides long. RefSeq lists it as uncharacterized. The record is from RefSeq and is a predicted model, not a curated record. The transcript is spliced from 3 exons. NCBI's taxonomy places the organism in Eukaryota, Metazoa, Arthropoda, Insecta, Diptera, Drosophilidae.
UGAAGACGUCCGUAUCUGAAUUAUAAUAGCCAGCUGAAGGCAAUCCAUCGCUGAGCUGUAUAUCUCGUACCUUUUGGCAAUCGCCACUGAAAACUUGUAUUUGUAGUCCUGCCGAGAUCUGCACCCGCAUCAAGCCAAAAUACCAGGCCAUAUGCCGCAACACAACGAUCUUGGGCCAGAAGACAAAAGGCAAUAGAACCCACACACGCACACAGGGAGAACUCGUCGGUGGUUUCGACCGCAGGACACAACCGAAAUUUAUAAUCACCGAUGACCAUGUCAAGCACGCCCACCGCCAACGCCCCUCCCCCAAAAAAAGAAACCCGGAAAAAAACAGAGAGUAUAAUAGGGUUAAGUCAUGUUCGAUCAUCUCGGCCGCAGGACCUUUUCUUUUUGGAC